UGGGGAAUUUUUCGCAAUGGGGGAAACCCUGACGAAGCAACGCCGCGUGGAGGAUGAAGGCCUUCGGGUCGUAAACUCCUGUCGACUGGGACGAAAGUAGCCCGACCUAACACGUCGGGUUAUCGACUGUACCGGUGGAGGAAGCUCCGGCUGACUCUGUGCCAGCAGCCGCGGUAAUACAGAGGGAGCGAGCGUUGUUCGGAAUUACUGGGCGUAAAGGGCGCGUAGGCGGUCUUGUAAGUUUCGUGUGAAAUCCCUCGGCUCAACUGAGGAACCGCACGGGAAACUGCUUGGCUAGAGUUCGGGAGAGGGACGUGGAAUUCCGGGUGUAGCGGUGAAAUGCGUAGAUAUCCGGAGGAACACCGGUGGCGAAGGCGGCGUCCUGGACCGACACUGACGCUGAGGCGCGAAAGCUAGGGGAGCAAACGGGAUUAGAUACCCCGGUAGUCCUAGCUGUAAACGAUGAGUGCUGGGUGUAGGGGGUCUUAACCCCCCCUGUGCCGAAGCUAACGCAUUAAGCACUCCGCCUGGGGAGUACGGUCGCAAGGCUG
RNAcentral lists this ribosomal RNA (551 nucleotides) under uncultured bacterium. RNAcentral's name for it is "bacterial SSU rRNA". It matches the Rfam family "Bacterial small subunit ribosomal RNA", at positions 355 to 896 of the family's 1533-position model. The record is from RNAcentral.